UACGGAGGGUGCAAGCGUUUGUCCGGAAUCACUGGGCGUAAAGGGCGCGUAGGCGGCUCAUGAAGGCUGUGGUGAAAGUCCGGGGCUCAACCUCGGAUCGGCCGUGGCGACUCGUGGGCUGGAGCACUGUAGAGGCGGGUGGAAUUCCGGGUGUAGCGGUGGAAUGCGUAGAGAUCCGGAAGAACACCAGUGGCGAAGGCGGCCCGCUGGGCAGUGGCUGACGCUGGAGGCGCGACAGCGUGGGAGCAAACAGG
RNAcentral lists this ribosomal RNA (254 nucleotides) under uncultured bacterium. Its description in RNAcentral is "partial 16S ribosomal RNA". It matches the Rfam family "Bacterial small subunit ribosomal RNA", at positions 524 to 776 of the family's 1533-position model. The record is from RNAcentral.